Xyrichtys novacula (pearly razorfish) is the source of this 1191-nucleotide non-coding RNA. The record is from the annotation of a GenBank genome assembly. NCBI's taxonomy places the organism in Eukaryota, Metazoa, Chordata, Actinopteri, Labriformes, Labridae.
UGAACUUGAGUUUGUUUUUUUUACUUGAGUUUGUGUCGUUUUUGUACUUGAGUAUAUGGUGUUUUUGAACUUGAGUCUAUGUUGGUUUUGAACUUGAGGUUGUGGUGUUUUUUAACUUGAGUUUGUGUUGUGUUCAAACUUGAGCUUGUGUUGUUUGAUAACUUGAGAUUGUUUUUUGUUUGAACUUGAGUUUGUGGCAUUUGUUGAACUUGAGUUUGUGUCGUGUUUGAACUUGAGUCUGUGGUGUAUUUGAACUUGAGUCUGUGUUGUUUUUGAACUUGAGGUUGUGGAAAUUGUUAAACUUGAGAAUUGGGUGCUGGUUGAACUUGAGAUUUUGGUGUUUUUGAACUUGAGUUCGUGUUGUUUUUGAACUUGAGGUUGUGGAAAUCGUUAAAUUUGAGAAUUGGGUAUUGGUUGAACUUGAGUUUGUGGUGUUUGGUGAACUUGAGUUUGCGUAUUUAGUGAACUUGAAUUUGUGUUUGUUGAACUCGAGUUUGUGUUGUGUUUGAACUUGAGUUUGUGGUGUUUUUAAACUUGAAUUUGUUACUUGUUUGAACUUGAGUUUGUGGUUUUUUUAACUUAAGUUGUGUCGUGUUUGAACUUGAGCAUUGGGUAUUUUUUGAACGUGAGUCUGUGUUUUUUUUUAACUUGAAGUUGUGGAUAUUGUUAAACUUGAGAAUUGGGCAUUGGUUGAACUUGAGUUUUUUGUGUUUUAAACUUGAGAUUUUAUCGUGUUUGAACCCGAGUUUGUGGUGUUUGGUGUUCUUGAGUUUGCGUGUUUCGUGAACUUGAGAUUGUGUGUUUUUUUAACUUGAGUUUCUGUUGUUCUUGAACUCUGGGUUGCAGAAAUUGUUAAACUUGAGAAUAAGGUGUUGGUUGAACUUGAGUUUGUGUCGAGAUUUAGCUUGAGUUUGUGGCAAUUGUUGAACUUGUAUCUGUGGUUUUAGGUGAAUUUUAAUUGGUAGCAAUGUUUGAACUUGAGUUUGUGGCGUUUGUUGAACUUGAGUUUGUGUCGUGUCUGAACUCGAGUAUGUGGUGUUUUUUAACUUGAGUUUGUGGUGUGUUUGAACUUCAGUUUGUGUGUUUGUUGAACUUGAGGUUGUGGAAAUUAUUAAACUUGAGAAUCGGGUGUUGGUUGAAUUUGAGUUUGUUUGUUUGUUGAAUUCAAGUUUGUGGCGUGUUUCAUCUUGA